Labrus bergylta (ballan wrasse) is the source of this 1289-nucleotide long non-coding RNA. RefSeq lists it as uncharacterized. The record is from RefSeq and is a predicted model, not a curated record. Lineage: Eukaryota; Metazoa; Chordata; Actinopteri; Labriformes; Labridae.
CAUGAACGCGCUCCGGACUGUUCCCGUGACUAGGCGCGUCCCUGACACCAUGCGACCUUUGGGUGUCGAAAGAAAGCAUGUAGCUUCCUAAAAAGAUGCAGCAACUUCGCUUGUAAUGAGAGGCACACCGCGCAGGCGUGGCUUUGUGUGUGAACUUCUUUUUUUCUCCCCGAUGAGCUAGUCGACGCACCUGCGCAUGCGUGAGAAAACCCCUGGUUGAAUGAAGGUGCUUUGACAUCUGAGAAGCUUUGACUCACGGGAGGAUCCCAUCCGUACUUGUUGGUGAAGGCAAGUUUUGGUCUCCCAAUGGACAGAAAGUGCUCUCAGGCCCCUUUUGCUGCUUCCAGGGAGACUCACUGACCUGUGAGGUUGUUGAAUCCAGCAGAUCCAUGGUGGGGAUUAGACAGCUGGCCUCUCCCAGGAAACACAUCAGGAUUUGGAGCACGUCAGCCCAGCGUCCAACAGUCAGCAUCAAGACCAUCAAUCCACCGAGUCGCACCACCACUGUGUUCAGGACAGCCUGGCUGCCGGGUAGCCGGUUCUUCUCCUCUGCAGGAACAAAAAUGCAACAUUUAUGAAAAUAUUUCCAAUUGAUGACAGGUCAAUAGAGGUGUCAAAUCAUCAGAAUGCUCAAAUGAAUGAUGAAUGACUUAGUGGUCGGACGAGACCAGGCGAGGCUUCAAACUGAUGAAUUAGUUAUUUUCCUCAGGCUGGAGAGAUGUCUACAAUAUCACAUGUUUGAUUGAUUAGAGUCUAAUGAGCAUUGCAGCAUCUUUGAAAUGAAAGAUUGUAUCACUUAGAGAUGUUAUAAACCGAUACCAGUUCAAUAAAUACCUCCUAUGUCAUCGAAAUAGCAUCUGGUAUCAGCAUGCAGGUCUACUAGCCCUGAAAGAGAAUCAAGUUUAUUCAUGUAGCCUAUUAAGGCCUACUUUAUUAUGUAUUUUAAUGCAUGUCAAAAGCACAUAAAAAUGAAAAAAGUAAAGAAAGUGGUUCUGGCAGAGUGUAACUUUAGUCGUAGCUACACUGACUCAACCUGUUUCACAUUAAAUCUAACGUAUAUUUCUUUAAUGGUACUGAUAGUUCAUAGAUUCACACGUUUGGGUGUCACAUUUGGUAUGGGGAAGGAAGCACUGCAACAUCUCUCUAAAUGUGUCAUGUUUCUCACCCUGCAUGUACACAACCAGAAGCGUGUAGCAGAUGGUCAGUGGCGUCCAAAACCUGAGGGCCUCUGAAGCAGAGAGGAAGUGCUUAUUAAUGGUUGCUAUGGCGGCCACCACAGCCACAGAGAA